ACGGCUCAGUAACACGUAGUCAACCUACCCUUGGGACGGGGACAACCUCGGGAAACUGAGGCUAAUCCCCGAUAGGCGGGGGACGCUGGGAUGCCCCCUCGCCCAAAGCUCCGGCGCCCGAGGAUGGGACUGCGGCCUAUCAGGCUGUUGGUGGUGUAACGGACCACCAAACCUACGACGGGUACGGGCGAUGGGAGUCGGAGCCCGGAGAUGGGGACUGAGACAAGGCCCCAGGCCCUACGGGGCGCAGCAGGCGCGAAAACUCCGCAAUGCGCGCAAGCGUGACGGGGGGACCCCAAGUGCCGUUGGUCUUUCGAUCGACGGUUUUUAGGAAGUCUAAGAAGCUUCCAGAAUAAGGGCUGGGCAAGACUGGUGCCAGCCGCCGCGGUAACACCAGCAGCCCAAGUGGUGGCCACGAUUAUUGGGCCUAAAGCGCUCGUAGCCGGAUCAAUAAGUCCCUUGUGAAAUCGGGCCGCCCAACGGUUCGGCGUGCAAGGGAUACUGUUGGUCUUGAGGCCGGGAGAGGUCGGAGGUACUCCUGGGGUAGCGGUGAAAUGCUCUAAUCCUAGGGGGACCACCAGUGGCGAAGGCGUCCGACCAGAACGGACCUGACGGUGAGGGGCGAAGGCUAGGGGAGCGAACGGGAUUAGAUACCCCGGUAGUCCUAGCUGUAAAGCAUGCGGGCCAGGUGUCUAGCGCUCCUUGAGGGCGCUAUGUGCCGGAGGGAAGCCGUUAAGCCCGCCGCCUGGGAAGUACGGUCGCAAAGCUGAAACUUAAAGGAAUUGGCGGGGGAG
This 794-nucleotide ribosomal RNA is filed under the name uncultured archaeon. RNAcentral's name for it is "bacterial SSU rRNA". It matches the Rfam family "Archaeal small subunit ribosomal RNA", at positions 85 to 876 of the family's 1478-position model. The record is from RNAcentral.